Molecule: ribosomal RNA, 273 nt
Filed under: uncultured bacterium
Lineage: Bacteria
Description: partial 16S ribosomal RNA
Rfam family: Bacterial small subunit ribosomal RNA
Source: RNAcentral
UACGGAGGGGACUAGCGUUGUUCGGAAUUACUGGGCGUAAAGCGCGCGUAGGCGGAUUUGCAAGUCGGGGGUGAAAUCCCGAGGCUCAACCUCGGAACUGCCUUCGAUACUGCAAAUCUCGAGUCCGGAAGAGGUGAGUGGAAUUCCUAGUGUAGAGGUGAAAUUCGUAGAUAUUAGGAAGAACACCAGUGGCGAAGGCGGCUCACUGGUCCGGUACUGACGCUGAGGCGCGAAAGCGUGGGGAGCAAACAGGAUUAGAAACCCCCGUAGUCC